Molecule: long non-coding RNA, 381 nt
Organism: Solanum pennellii
Lineage: Eukaryota; Viridiplantae; Streptophyta; Magnoliopsida; Solanales; Solanaceae
Exons: 2
Source: RefSeq, a predicted model, not a curated record
UAAAAUCAAUUCAAAAUUCUCAGCCAAAAUUUCAAGUUCCUUGUUCAUAUUUUCCAUAAUCAAAGCCAUUGUUAUCAAGGAUUUAAGCAGAUUUUCGAGUUAGGUUUAUUAUUAAAGCAGAUUUCGUGGAGAAAAGAAUCAAAGCCAUUGUUAUCAAGGAUUCAAGCAGAUUUUAGAGCUAGGUUCAUUAUUAAAGCAGAUUUUGUGGUGGAAAGGUUAGUUUUAAAUUUCGGUUUUGAUUUUUUGAGCGUUUUUUGUUCAAGUUCUGAUUUUGUAUAUCAAGAAUUUAUGGACAAUAUAUGAAAAGCCAUUGAUUAUCAAAGAUUUAAGAAGAUUUUUGAGCUAGAUUCAUUAUUAAAAGCAGAUUUCGUGGUGGCAAGG